ACACUGAAAGUUUCUCUGCUUUGGGCCAGCAGGAAAUUCCAGUUGCUUCAUUCACCGGAGCCAGUUAAGCUGCUGAAAUGAAAUGGAUCACCGGAGAGAUCACUAUAUCAGGACAUAGACUUGACUUUCAGGGUUGGAGGAAGCCGGACAAAGAUGAAUGGGAUUCAGAGCCUGAACUCAAGGUCAACGUCUUCUGAAUCACAAAGAGCUGGUGGGUCAGUCUGGGAGAAGAAAGAAAAUUCUGCGCCAAAUGGGAAAACCCUUAAAGUCUGCAUAGUUUUGCUUGUCGGUAAGAACACAGGGUUGUUAUGAGGCUCAAAGGAACGGCUGCUGUGAAAAAACAUGCUUUGCAAUUUAUGAAGCACUGGAUAAACAUCAGGAACGGUAUAAAAGCAUGCUGCUUACUCAAGAAAUACUAGUUGAGUGCCUGUGUGUUGGGCACUGGCUAGAGAUAAGGGUCUCCUAUGGACAGAAGUGCGGGCAAGGAGCUUUGUUCCUCCCCGAUGUCACCCUCCCACAGCCCACUUGCUAGCAGGCAAGAGAGGGGUGGAGGCCGGCAGUAAGGCAUGUACUGAACUGGACCUCUGGUGGAAUGGGUCACCCACGCUGGGCUUGACUCUUACCAUCAGGGUCCUGCCAACCCUUCAGUGAGACUUUUUCCGAAGAAUCCCUUUUAAAAUGACCUCAAGCUGACCUUCCUGAUGCAGAUUCCACAUAUGGUAUCUGAGACUCACACAGUGUGGUUGGAAGAUAGCACAGUGACCUCCCAGGCACAGCCCUCUGCCAGCCCUCCACUGGCUGCCCUAGGAUGCUGGCCUUCCUCCGAUGGGAGUCGGGCCCAGUCUGCUGUGAGCCAGGAGAAGCCAGCAAGCUCCCUGCGAGGCCUGGAGGAGCCCUUCUCACUCAGCUUGGUGUUCGAUGCCAGUGCCCCCGCCCAUUGUGGGGUGAGGGUGGGACUCUCAGCACAGCCCUGUCCAAAUAAAUCCUCUAAAGCCCUCUUC
Homo sapiens (human) is the source of this 1001-nucleotide long non-coding RNA. RefSeq annotates it as NHSL1 antisense RNA 1. The transcript has 4 exons. Lineage: Eukaryota; Metazoa; Chordata; Mammalia; Primates; Hominidae. The record is from RefSeq and is marked validated.